RNAcentral lists this ribosomal RNA (253 nucleotides) under uncultured bacterium. RNAcentral's name for it is "partial 16S ribosomal RNA". It matches the Rfam family "Bacterial small subunit ribosomal RNA", at positions 524 to 776 of the family's 1533-position model. The record is from RNAcentral.
GACGGAGGGGGCAAGCGUUACCCGGAAUUAUUGGGCGUAAAGCGUCCGCAGGUGGCGAUUCAAGUCUGCUGUCAAAGGGCGGGGCUUAACCCCGGGAAGGCAGUGGAAACUGAAUAGCUAGAGUGCGGUAGGGGCAGAGGGAAUUCCCGGUGUAGCGGUGAAAUGCGUAGAGAUCGGGAAGAACACCAGUGGCGAAAGCGCUCUGCUGGGCCUGCACUGACACUGAGGGACGAAAGCUAGGGGAGCGAAAGGG